Non-coding RNA from Equus caballus (horse), 489 nucleotides. The record is from the annotation of a RefSeq genome assembly. Lineage: Eukaryota; Metazoa; Chordata; Mammalia; Perissodactyla; Equidae.
CCUCACAGCUCAGACAUGAAGCCCAUCCUCAUCUCAGUGCUUGUGAUGAUGUUCACACUCAGAGGAGCAAGAGCCCAGACAGUGACUCAGCCUGAGGACCGCAUCUCUGUCAUUGAAGGGGCCCCAGUGCAGGUGAAGUGCAACUACUCUUAUUCCGGGAGUCCUGAUCUCUUCUGGUACGUCCAGUACCCCAAACAAGGCCUCCAGUUACUCCUGAAACACACCUCAGGAGAGAGCAUCAAAGGUUUCACGGCCAACCUUAACAAGAGUGAGAAGUCCUUCCAUCUGAAGAAACUAUCAGCUCAAGAGGAAGACUCAGCCAUGUAUUACUGCGCUCUGAGUGACACAGUGACUGGUUUUACAAGGAAAGCAGAGCACAAACCCUUUGGGAGUUACAGAAAAUAUUUCUUUGUCAGUUCUCUAUUUAGCCACCGUGGGGCAUUCUUUCUCUAGAGACUGAUGCUGAAUUUACCUCUUAGACGCAAUAUC